Molecule: non-coding RNA, 71 nt
Organism: Candidatus Kaiserbacteria bacterium
Lineage: Bacteria; Candidatus Kaiseribacteriota
Source: Rfam
GCCCUUGUAGCUCAACGGUAGAGCGCAGCCCUGAAAAAGCUGAGAAGAAGGUCCGAUUCCUUCCAAGGGCA